CAAUAGCGUAUAUUAAAGUUGUUGCGGUUAAAAAGCUCGUAGUUGGAUUUCUGGUUGAAGCGACCGGUCGGGCGUUGAUUCGUCUGCACUGGAGUCGGUUUUGGCCAUCCUCUAGGAAAGUGCGUCUGGUAUUAAGUUAUCGGGCGUAUGAUCCUGGUCUUUUACUGUGAAAAAAUUAGAGUGUUUAAAGCAGGCCUUCGCCUUGAAUACAUUAGCAUGGAAUAAUAAGAUAGGACUUUGGUCUAUUUUGUUGGUUUGCAGACCGAAGUAAUGAUUAAUAGGGAUAGUUGGGGGUAUUUAUAUUCCGAUGUCAGAGGUGAAAUUCUUAGAUUUUCGGAAGAUAAACUUAUGCGAAAGCAUUUACCAAGGAUGUUUNCAUUA
This 381-nucleotide ribosomal RNA is filed under the name uncultured eukaryote. RNAcentral's name for it is "partial 18S ribosomal RNA". It matches the Rfam family "Eukaryotic small subunit ribosomal RNA", at positions 592 to 975 of the family's 1831-position model. The record is from RNAcentral.